ACUCAAUAGAUACCCAGGUAGUCCUGGCAGUAAACGGUGCGCGUUUGGUGUGGGAGGAUUCGACCCCUUCUGUGCCGGAGCUAAACGCGUUAAACGCGCCGCCUGGGGAGUACGGUCGCAAGAUUAAAACUCAAAGAAAUUGACGGGGGCCCGCACAAGCGGUGGAGUAUGUGGCUUAAUUCGAUGCAACGCGAAGAACCUUACCUAGCCUUGACAUGCAUCUCUAAGUCGGUGAAAGCCGGCGAGUGUAGCAAUACACAAUUUGCACAGGUGCUGCAUGGCUGUCGUCAGCUCGUGUCGUGAGAUGUUGGGUUUAAGUCCCGCAACGAGCGCAACCCCUGUGAACUGUUGCCACCGGGCCUCGGUCGUAGCGACUCUGUUCUAGACUGCCUCGUGAACGGGUAGGAAGGUAGGGGAGUGACGUCGAAGUCAGCA
Molecule: ribosomal RNA, 435 nt
Filed under: uncultured bacterium
Lineage: Bacteria
Description: bacterial SSU rRNA
Rfam family: Bacterial small subunit ribosomal RNA
Source: RNAcentral